GAUGAACGCUGGCGGCGUGCCUAAUACAUGCAAGUCGAGCGAACAGACGAGGAGCUUGCUCCUCUGACGUUAGCGGCGGACGGGUGAGUAACACGUGGAUAACCUACCUAUAAGACUGGGAUAACUUCGGGAAACCGGAGCUAAUACCGGAUAAUAUAUUGAACCGCAUGGUUCAAUAGUGAAAGACGGUUUUGCUGUCACUUAUAGAUGGAUCCGCGCCGCAUUAACUAGUUGGUAAGGUAACGGCUUACCAAGGCAACGAUGCGUAGCCGACCUGAGAGGGUGAUCGGCCACACUGGAACUGAGACACGGUCCAGACUCCUACGGGAGGCAGCAGUAGGGAAUCUUCCGCAAUGGGCGAAAGCCUGACGGAGCAACGCCGCGUGAGUGAUGAAGGUCUUCGGAUCGUAAAACUCUGUUAUUAGGGAAGAACAAAUGUGUAAGUAACUAUGCACGUCUUGACGGUACCUAAUCAGAAAGCUACGGCUAACUACGUG
Molecule: ribosomal RNA, 497 nt
Filed under: uncultured bacterium
Lineage: Bacteria
Description: partial 16S ribosomal RNA
Rfam family: Bacterial small subunit ribosomal RNA
Source: RNAcentral